The submitters of this non-coding RNA (71 nucleotides) gave its source as unclassified sequences. The record is from Rfam.
GGCACAGUUUUCGCUAAGCAAUCCUUACCGGUAACCAACGGCGGUUGCCCCAUCUACGACAGAGACGUCGC